Molecule: ribosomal RNA, 1321 nt
Filed under: metagenome
Description: bacterial LSU rRNA
Rfam family: Bacterial large subunit ribosomal RNA
Source: RNAcentral
AGUGGAUGGGGAGCAACCUAGUUGUGCGUGUGUAAAGGUAGUGCCAAGAAAAGCGAUGAUCAUGUUGAAAAUCAAUUCCCGGUACCCGAAACCGACACAGGUGGGCAAGUAGAGAAUACUAAGGGGCGCGAGGUAACUCUCUCCAAGGAACUCGGCAAAAUGACCCCGUAACUUAGGGAGAAGGGGUGCCACCGAGAGGUGGUCGCAGUGAAGAGGCCCAGGCGACUGUUUAGCAAAAACAUAGGUCUCUGCAAACUCGAAAGAGGAGGUAUAGGGGCUGACGCCUGCCCAGUGCCGGAAGGUUAAAGAAGUUGGUCAGUCUUAGGAUGAAGCUAGCGACUGAAGCCCCGGUGAACGGCGGCCGUAACUAUAACGGUCCUAAGGUAGCGAAAUACCUUGUCGGGUAAGUUCCGACCCGCACGAAAGGCGUAACGAUCUGGGCGCUGUCUCGGAGAGAGGCUCGGCGAAAUAGGAUUGUCUGUGAAGAUACGGACUACCUGCAUUUGGACAGAAAGACCCUAUGAAGCUUUACUAUAGCUUGGAAUUGUGUUCGGGCUUCCUGUGCGCAGGAUAGGUGGGAGGCGUAGAAGGUAUUCUUGUGGGGAUACUGGAGCCAACGGUGAGAUACCACUCUCAGGAGGCUAGAAUUCUAACUUAAUUAAGGACAGUUUCAGGUGGGUAGUUUGACUGGGGCGGUCGCCUCCAAAAAGGUAACGGAGGCGUACAAAGGUUCCCUCAGACUGGUUGGAAAUCAGUCGAAGAGUGCAAUGCAGAAGGGAGCUUGACUGCGAGAAGUACAGUUCGAGCAGGGUGGAAACACGGUCUUAGUGCUCCGACGGUGCUGUGUGGAAGGGCCGUCGCUCAACGGAUAAAAGUUACUCUAGGAUAACAGGCUGAUCUCCCCCAAGAGUUCACAUCGACGGGGAGGUUUGGCACCUCGAUGUCGGCUCAUCGCAACCUGGGGCGGAAGUACGUCCCAAGGGUUGGGCUGUUCGCCAUUAAAGCGGUACGUGAGCUGGGUUCAGAACGUCGUGAGACAGUUCGGUCCAUAUCCGAUGUAGGCGUGAGAAUGUUGAGAGGAGCCUUCCUUAGUACGAGAGGACCGGGAAGGACGCACCGCUGGUGUACCUGUUAUGAUGCCAAUUGUAAACGCAGGGUAGCCAAGUGCGGAGAGGAUAACCGCUGAAAGCAUCUAAGUGGGAAGCCCACCUCAAGAUGAGUAUUCUGGUGUAAGGUCACGGGAAGACGACCCGUAAAUAGGCACGAGGUGGAAGUGCAGAGAUGUAUGAAGCCGAAGUGUACUAAUAGACCGUCGGCUUGA